This 251-nucleotide ribosomal RNA is filed under the name uncultured bacterium. RNAcentral's name for it is "partial 16S ribosomal RNA". It matches the Rfam family "Bacterial small subunit ribosomal RNA", at positions 525 to 775 of the family's 1533-position model. The record is from RNAcentral.
ACGUAGGGGGCAAGCGUUAUCCGGAUUUACUGGGUGUAAAGGGAGUGUAGACGGCAUGGCAAGCCAGAUGUGAAAGCCCGGGGCUCAACCCCGGGACUGCAUUUGGAACUGUCAGGCUAGAGUGUCGGAGAGGAAAGCGGAAUUCCUAGUGUAGCGGUGAAAUGCGUAGAUAUUAGGAGGAACACCAGUGGCGAAGGCGGCUUUCUGGACGAUGACUGACGUUGAGGCUCGAAAGCGUGGGGAGCAAACAG